GUGAAUAUCUGCAACUGCAUUGCUGCAGAAAAUGUUAAUGCAAUUUGCCAAUUGAAUGUGUGCAAGAUAUGGGGAAAAAUAAACUAAAAUCUAGUUGUAUAUUUCAAUAUAAUUAACUGGAAGUAUAUGGAUAUGACAAGGUAUCAACAAAAACAAGAGGUAACUAGGAUUGAAAUGUCAACUGAUUUUCUUAAAUAACCAAUACUUACACUAGAGCUGAAUGUGACACUGA
Molecule: unclassified non-coding RNA, 232 nt
Filed under: Hevea brasiliensis (rubber tree)
Lineage: Eukaryota; Viridiplantae; Streptophyta; Magnoliopsida; Malpighiales; Euphorbiaceae
Source: RNAcentral